RNAcentral lists this ribosomal RNA (301 nucleotides) under uncultured bacterium. RNAcentral's name for it is "partial 16S ribosomal RNA". It matches the Rfam family "Bacterial small subunit ribosomal RNA", at positions 509 to 807 of the family's 1533-position model. The record is from RNAcentral.
CAGUAGCCGCGGUAAUACGAAGGGUGCAAGCGUUAAUCGGAAUUACUGGGCGUAAAGCGUGCGUAGGCGGUGAGUUAAGUCUGCUGUGAAAUCCCCGGGCUCAACCUGGGAAUGGCAGUGGAUACUGGCUCGCUAGAGUGUGUCAGAGGAUGGUGGAAUUCCCGGUGUAGCGGUGAAAUGCGUAGAGAUCGGGAGGAACAUCAGUGGCGAAGGCGGCCAUCUGGGACAACACUGACGCUGAGGCACGAAAGCGUGGGGAGCAAACAGGAUUAGAGACCCCGGUAGUCCCUGUCUCUUAUAC